GAGAUUCGCUUGAACCACCAAAGACGCGACUUGACAAAAGAAUUCCGUGCAUACCAAUAGGAACAAGUCCAUUCAGUCAGUUUACAUUCGGACGCGGCGGUGGCUAAAAGUGUUGCAAAUUGUCAAGCGGAUGAAAAAGGACUUUGCUUUGAAUAAAAUAGCAGCACAUAGCAGAGCAUAGUAGAGCAUAGCAGAGACCAACUAAGUGCACUGUGUAUACAUAUGUAAUAUAUUAUAUCAUAUAUAUUUACAUUGCGUAUGUGCGCUUCGUGUGUUUAAAGUUGUAAGCUCGUAAUUUGCGUGCUACAAAGGAAACGGAAAUUGCUAACGUAAAUUACACAGAUCAUUAAAGCGUUUUUCAGCGAACGACGGCAAAGAAAACGCAGAAAAAGAAGAAAAAACAUACAUUACAAAAACAUAUAAAAGCGACCGAAAAAUAAUCGAAACAUUUAAAAUCUUGAGUGCAACUGUUACGUCUAUUACGCUUCACGUAUCGUUGUUGUUGUUAUUGUGAAACGUUGCAAACUAAAAAAAUUAUAAGAAAAAUGAGGUGUUUACUUUUGAUUGCCACCAUUUGUCUGGUGUUGAUGUCAUCCGGUCUGAGUGGCGCUGAUGCCAAGAAGAAGAAAUAUGUUGGCGAAAAUGGCGGCGAUUUCGAGUUUAUCGAUGAGAUAAAUAAAAACUCGCAGGUUCCCUCGAAGAGCAGCAAUGGCGAGCGCAAGCGCUGGAUUCACGAUCCUACAAGUGACCUUUGCCGGCCAUUAAAUUGCAAGAAGCGUGAAAUUUGUUUGCUGGAGGAUGAGUACAGUGCUGUGUGUGUGUCGAAGCGUGACUUACACAAGAAUCGUGAUGAAAUAAUCACGAAAGCCAAGUACUUGGAAGAGGAGGCGGCUAAGCGGCGCGCCAAUAAGGAUAACGGCAACAACAACAUUAAUAUUAACAACAACAGCGACAAUGACAAUGAUGAUGAGGAUGCGAAGAACUUCAGCUCGGACGAGGAGUCCCGUGAGGAUGAUGUCUUCUAUGAGAACAACAACACAGCCGGGGAUAAGGAUGACGAAGAAGACGAAGACAAUUGCAAGCCCUGCCCGGUGGCAAAGCCGACUUUCUUAUGCGGCGCCGACAACCGUACAUACUCAUCGCUAUGCAGAUUGGAUUACCACAACUGCAUACAUUCAACAACCAUAAGGAUAGCGUGCAAGGGUUUCUGUCCAUGCAAGGAAAAUAUGGAUGGCAAACGAUUACAGCGUCUCAGUGAGCGUCAAAGUGCUUUUAAUGCCAAAUAUAAGAAGACCAUUGAGCAACAACAGCAGCAGCAGCAACAACAGCAAAAACAACAAAUGCAACAACAAUUAAUGUACAAGGAUAACAGCAAUAGCAACAACAUUAUGGGCAACUCAAAUGACAAUUUGGACAACACUUUGAAUAGCAACAAUUUUAAUGCUAUUAUGGACGAUAAGGACGAUAACAAUCGCCAUUACAAUCACAUAAAUUCGCAAUUCACAUUUACACCGGAGGAAAUCAAAUACGAUAACAAACACUAUAAGUAUCUCAAGUACACCGCCUACAAGAAGGACAACCAAUACCCCGAGGACAAGCACAAAAUUCGUGGCUAUAAUGAGGUGGUCGAGAAACCACAAAAGUACAACAAAAAUAGCAUGAACAAUGGUUUCCUACCCUCCAAAUCGCCCGAAUGUAAGCCACAACAAUUGACCGCCAUCGGCAAUCGCUUGCUUGACUGGUUCUCCGUUAUAAUGGCCGACAGUAAGAAACGACGACAACAUAGCCAAAAAUCUAAGGCGCACUUUCCACCCGCUUGCAAGACCGAGGCCAAAUGGAUGUUCGGCCACUUGGAUUUAAACAACGACGGCUAUUUGUCGCUGCAGGAAAUGUACGACUUGGAGCAUGAUCAGAAUGAGCGUUGCAUUAAACCGUUCAUUGAUACGUGCGACUUGGAUCAGGAUAAUUCGAUUAAUACGCGCGAAUGGUGCCGCUGCUUCGAGAAGACCGAUCGCCCAUGCGCCGCGGUACGACGAAGAAUCGCUGGCGAUUUUGCAGGUGAGAUAGUACGAAUGAAAAGAGCGCAACGAAACGAAUAAGAAAAAUGAAUUAAGGAUAUAUUAAAUUAGACACAGAUUCAACGUUUUUUUAGCUCAAUUCUAUUUUAAUAACUGCAAUGAAGCUUUCGACAUGUUUGCACUUUGCAUCGCACUAUGGAGCUUUCACUUAUAUCAUAUCAAAGCUUUCACAUAUUUAAGAGCUUUUUAAGUUAUAGCAGCUUUUCCAAUUAUUAUGCUUAAUACAAUAAAAUCAAAUUGCAUUACAUUUUCAUGAUUACUUGUUAAUUACAUAUUUUCAAAAUAUACGCGUAUAAAUUACGUAAACUUUUCUUAGUUACAUACAUACAUAUACUCUUACGUUUUUAUUAUAUUAUAUACUUUUUAUAGCUUUGGUUCUUCAAUUAACUAAUAAACAUUUUAAUCCGCUUGUGCUAUACAUUGUAUCUAUAAAGAAAAUAUUAAUCAAAAUUCGACUCAAAGCUUUCUAACUUUCAUAUGAAAAUUUCCAUUACUCGUUAAUGCUUCCAUCGGCAUUUGUCGCUUCGUUGCUGUCACUCUUCCACUCAUGUCAUAAAAGGCGCCUAUGCACCCGAUUGCGAUAUUCAGGGUUUCUAUAAACCCACCCAAUGUCAUAAUUCUGUCGGUGUUUGCUGGUGUGUGGAUAAGCAUGGAGUUGAAUUCGCCAACACACGUACUCGUGGCAAGCCCAAUUGUGAGUCCGUUGUGAAUAACGCCUCAUCACUCACCUCCGACGAUGAGGACGAGGAGACCGACGACGACGACAGUGCGGAAGGAAGUGCCGAUCAAAUGUUGGUAUUCUAAAUGAAAUGAAAUGAAAUGAAACUAAGUGGCAGAGUUUGAAAACGCUCAACACGAAAGAGGUGUGGAAGGGAGUGGUAUACCGAAAGCUUACUUGAAGAGACACGUGGUGAUGGAUGCAGUGCGAAGGGGCAAAACGAAGCGCAGUGAAGUGUAAGAAAAAAGGAUAUCUCAAACUUACGAUUUUUAUUUGAAGCAUUACAUAAGUAAAUACAAGUAUAUAGACAUAAAUAAAAGACAUAAGAAAAAUGCUGCAUAAGCAGGUAACAAGUGUUGGCGCAAAUUGCAGAAGAAGAAAAAUAAAAUUAUAAAACAACAACGUAAAAGUAGCGAAAGCGCAGAAAACGAGGUUAAAAUUGGAAAAUAUUUGCGCAAUGGAAAAUUAAUUUUGUAUGUAAAUUAAUUUUUAUAAAAAAAAAAAUAUUAAUAUAAGUAUACAUACAUAUAUGUAUACUCGUACAUAAAAAAGUUAUAAAACUAUUGUAAAAUUAUUACAAAAACAAUCGUAACAAUUAGCGUAUUAAUUUUCAUUAAACUCUCCUCAUUUUCUUUAUACGCUAACACCUAAUUGCACAAGGUUGCAUUGCGCUCACACUUGGUACACCGCACGCAAUCGCAUGUAAUAAUUUUAGUAACUAAUGCAAACUAGUAAGAUUGGCAUAGAGGGAAAGUACGCUGCAGAGUUUUGAAGCUUAUGCAAAUUUACGAAAAAUUAAGAAAACGAACGAAAAACAAAAUUAAAUUAAUUUAAAAGUAAUGGUAAAGUGGAACUGCAACGUGUUGUGUGUUGUUUAUGUAAAGAAAAAAAGUAAAUUAAAAACAUACCUGCUAGCUUUGGAGUAGUAAGCACUUACACACAUACAGAGAGAGAAAUACAUUGGCACAUAUAAAAUUCGUCACACACACAUACACACACACAUACACAUGCAUACACCAUCACUCAUACGACAAUGCAACAAAAUGGCGAUAAACACAAGCGAAUAACAAACAAAAAAGCGAAACAAAAAGUGAACCAUCUAACUCCCACACAAGCAAUACUCUCUGAUUAAUUUUAUUGGUUGAAUUCUCAUGCCGUCGUUAGCUUAUAAAGUGUAGCAAAUUAGAAGAAAGCUAAAUAUAAAAUAAAUAUAAUUAAAAAACGUAAAAUAAAAAAGUAUAAUGAAAUUUAUAAAAAGUCAAAGUUGAAGAGCAAAAAGUUAGCGCCUAAGAUGUUGGUCAACUCAUUCUCGACACAAAUAAUAAUUUUUAAUCUUACAUACAUAUAUACUUACAUAUACUAUAUACAUACAUACAUGCAUAUACAUAAAUUUUCUUCUGCUUUUAUUUUUCACAUUUCACAUUUCAAAUUUGUUAUUCUACAUAUUCCGUUAGACAAACUUAUGUAUCGUACACGCUAAAAUUCCGCCCAAUGAAUUUUGUGAUAAGUUUUCAAAAAAAAAAAUAAUUAUAAUAAUUAAAAAAACAACAACUAAAGAAAAAACAAUGCAAUUGCACGUUAAUAUGAUGCAUUCAAGGAAACGCGAAAAGGUGAAAAAUAAAACACGCCAGAAAAUAAUUUAGAAUGACACACACAUACAUAAACACAGUAAUACCCAAACACUGCAAGUUUGUUUGGACUCAGCUUAAGUUGCAACUUUAAAGCAAACAAAAACUUUAAUAAAUACAUAUUUACUUAUCUAAACAAAGAAUGGAGCGCAGUAAUGCAGCCGCAAAUAAAAAAAUAUAUAAGAAAGAAGAAUAAGAGGCAGAAGAGGAGUAGUAAGAAAAAGAGCCAACAUUUGCGCUGUCAGCUGCUGCAAAGUUUACAUGAAAGCAUAAUAACUAAGUGACAGUAAUAAAUUAAUAAAUAAAAGAGUAAUUAAUGUGAAACUGCUACCUACCUUAUAAAAUGGAAAGAGUUGCCAACAUAGUUGUAUUUAAUGAAACCAAUGAUAAGCUUUUUGAGUGUACGAGUAAAGUGUUGAUAAAUAUGUGUAGUGCAAGUAGGAGAAAAAUGCCGCGCUAAAAAGGAUGAAAAUAAAUGAAUAUUAUAAAAAUUUAUAAAAAAAUACAUGCAGAUAUAUAAUUUUUAAUUAUUUAAUUAUACAAACCGCUUAAUUUAUUCGCAAUGGAAUUAAGAGCUUAUACACGAGCUUUCAGUUUUAGCUUUCCAUUCCAUUUACCUUCUGUUCAGAUAAAAACUUGAGUAACAUAAAAAUGGUUAUUAUUUCAGCUGCCUUAGAAAUCACCAGCAAAUAUUUGUGAAACAAGCAAAAGAAUGUCUAAAGCUUUCAUGUAUGCUGUCAUAAAUCAUUAUCAAAAAAAUGCAUAAAACUUAAUUUUCACAAAAUUUCAAGCUAAUAAAUGUAAAAAAUAAUUGUCACACUUUAUUAGCACAAAUGUAGAGAAGGGUUUGGAAUUCGUGUAAGCUUUCAUGGAGGCUUUCUUGAAAAAUAUAUAUAUUUAACCACUAUAAACACAAAGAGUGUAGAAUAUUUUCAAAUUUGAAAGCUUCUAUUUUUAUUACACACAAACUUAUUGAAAUCAUAAAUUAACAACUUUUAGUUGAGCUUUCACAAAUAUCAGAUAUUACGUAUUCAAAUAUGAGUGUAACAAUUUACAAAAAAGUCUUAAAAAGCACUCAUCAAUUUAGUUUGAUUUCUUUUUUAUAUAAAAAUGAUACAAUUUUGGUGAUACCAGAAAGAUUUAUAUAAGAACUUUGUGAAAGUUCAUUUGUUUCAGAAAUACAAUGCAGCUAGUGCUUACAUGAUUCAGUAAAUCAGUAGAGUUGUCACUAAACUAAUGUUCAAAAAUGCCAACAAAAGCUUAGAUUUCAAAAAGUAAACUCCUCUAAAGUUUCAAAUUGCGGUGGAAUUGAUUUUAGAUUCUGCUAAACAAAAUUUAAAAAAAAAAUACUGUGGUAGCAGAAACUUUUAGAACUUCGAAGAAAUCAAAACAUACUUUUACAAAAAGAUAUAGUUAAGCUUUCGAAAAAACACUGUACAAAAUUUACGAUGAAUUAACUGAAUCAAAGUUUUUAAAGAGUGAUAAAUAUGGUAUUUUUCAUGGGAGCUUUCACUUGAGCUUUCCUAUUUUACAAUAAACGAAUAAGUUCAAAGGCUUAAAUUAAAAAAAUAUUACAACUUUUUCUAUUCGAUAGUGGGGUUUAUAUUUUUUGUGGUGUAUAUUGCUUGGGACGAGCGUCACUCGUAAGUUUCAUUCGUUUUAACAGCAAAACAUAGUAACAGCUUUGAAUAAAAAUUAAUUGCAUUCGAUUUUUUAUUGCUUGACACACAUUUUUAUUGCUGCUAAGGAAAUCUUCAAUGCUUUUGGAUUGAUAAUUAUGCGUUUGUGCUAUAUUUUCUUUAUAGUUGAAAGAAAUAAAGUCUAUGCAAAAAGGCACACCGUUAAAGUUUACAAAAAGUAUGCUGUAAGUAGUAGAAAAUAUAAAUAUAUAUGAAUGUAUGUAUGUUUACGAAGCUAGUUCAGAGAACAGAUUAGAGUGCUUAGUAGGAGGGAAAGAUUUAGAAAAAGCUAAGCAAAUUAAAUGAGGAAUGCGAAAAAUUACAGUAAAAAAGAGAACAUACAACAACAGAAACACAGCAAAGCGUAAAGUGCAAAAAUCAGAUAUUAUUACAACACAAUUUGUGACUAUGAAGAGAAAUAAUAGAGACAAAAAUAAAGAAACAAGCUGAACACGAAGCAGAUGAAACUGAUGAUCAAUACAAUUAAGUGAACAUAAAAUUAAAAAAAAAAAAAAUAGCAAAAAACACACUAAACAAAAGCGGUGUGUGAAACCUUCAAUUAUAAGCAUUUUUAGCCAAUAAUAAUUACCGUAAUUGCAACUUUGAUAAUAUUCGAGAGAAAAUUGAAAAAUAAAUGCUUAAAUGCAACUUAGCAAAUACCUGCGUUUGCUGGAAAUGAAAAAAAAAAGAAAUAAAAACUUAUAAGAUGCAAAGCAAAAGCAAAUUGAAGUGAA
This is a non-coding RNA of Bactrocera oleae (olive fruit fly), 6837 nucleotides long. NCBI's taxonomy places the organism in Eukaryota, Metazoa, Arthropoda, Insecta, Diptera, Tephritidae. The record is from RefSeq and is a predicted model, not a curated record.